CCAUGCCGCGUGUGUGAAGAAGGCCUUCGGGUUGUAAAGCACUUUCAGUCGUGAGGAAGGUGGUAGUGUUAAUAGCACUAUCAUUUGACGUUAGCGACAGAAGAAGCACCGGCUAACUCCGUGCCAGCAGCCGCGGUAAUACGGAGGGUGCGAGCGUUAAUCGGAAUUACUGGGCGUAAAGCGCAUGCAGGUGGUUUGUUAAGUCAGAUGUGAAAGCCCGGGGCUCAACCUCGGAAUUGCAUUUGAAACUGGCAGACUAGAGUACUGUAGAGGGGGGUAGAAUUUCAGGUGUAGCGGUGAAAUGCGUAGAGAUCUGAAGGAAUACCGGUGGCGAAGGCGGCCCCCUGGACAGAUACUGACACUCAGAUGCGAAAGCGUGGGGAGCAAACAGGAUUAGAUACCCUGGUAGUCCACGCCGUAAACGAUGUCUACUUGGAGGUUGUGGCCUUGAGCCGUGGCUUUCGGAGCUAACGCGUUAAGUAGACCGCCUGGGGAGUACGGUCGCAAGAUUAAAACUCAAAUGAAUUGACGGGGGCCCGCACAAGCGGUGGAGCAUGUGGUUUAAUUCGAUGCAACGCGAAGAACCUUACCUACUCUUGACAUCCAGAGAACUUUCCAGAGAUGGAUUGGUGCCUUCGGGAACUCUGAGACAGGUGCUGCAUGGCUGUCGUCAGCUCGUGUUGUGAAAUGUUGGGUUAAGUCCCGCAACGAGCGCAACCCUUAUCCUUGUUUGCCAGCGAGUAAUGUCGGGAACUCCAGGGAGACUGCCGGUGAUAAACCGGAGGAAGGUGGGGACGACGUCAAGUCAUCAUGGCCCUUACGAGUAGGGCUACACACGUGCUACAAUGGCGCAUACAGAGGGCAGCCAACUUGCGAAAGUGAGCGAAUCCCAAAAAGUGCGUCGUAGUCCGGAUUGGAGUCUGCAACUCGACUCCAUGAAGUCGGAAUCGCUAGUAAUCGUGGAUCAGAAUGCCACGGUGAAUACGUUCCCGGGCCUUGUACACACCGCCCGUCACACCAUGGGAGUGGGCUGCAAAAGAAGUAGGUAGUUUAACCUUCGGGGGGACGCUUACCACUUUGUGGUUCAUGACUGGGGUGAAGUCGUAACAAGGUAGCGCUAGGGGAACCUGGCGCUGGAUCACCUCCUUA
RNAcentral lists this ribosomal RNA (1149 nucleotides) under Vibrio parahaemolyticus. RNAcentral describes it as "bacterial SSU rRNA". It matches the Rfam family "Bacterial small subunit ribosomal RNA", at positions 392 to 1533 of the family's 1533-position model. The record is from RNAcentral. Lineage: Bacteria; Pseudomonadati; Pseudomonadota; Gammaproteobacteria; Vibrionales; Vibrionaceae.